AUACGGAGGAUCCGAGCGUUAUCCGGAUUUAUUGGGUUUAAAGGGUGCGUAGGUGGAUUGAUAAGUCAGCGGUGAAAUCCCGGAGCUCAACUCCGGAACUGCCGUUGAAACUGUUAGUCUUGAGUGUGAACGAGGUAGGCGGAAUUCGUAGUGUAGCGGUGAAAUGCAUAGAUAUUACGAAGAACACCGAUAGCGCAGGCAGCUUACCAGGCCACAACUGACACUGAUGCACGAAAGUGUGGGUAUCAAACAGGAUUAGAUACCCUGGUAGUCCACACAGUAAACGAUGAAUACUAACUGUUUGCGAUAUACAGUAAGCGGUACAGCGAAAGCGUUAAGUAUUCCACCUGGGGAGUACGCCGGCAACGGUGAAACUCAAAGGAAUUGACGGGG
RNAcentral lists this ribosomal RNA (393 nucleotides) under uncultured bacterium. RNAcentral describes it as "partial 16S ribosomal RNA". It matches the Rfam family "Bacterial small subunit ribosomal RNA", at positions 523 to 918 of the family's 1533-position model. The record is from RNAcentral.